This is a long non-coding RNA of Acinonyx jubatus (cheetah), 787 nucleotides long. RefSeq lists it as uncharacterized. Lineage: Eukaryota; Metazoa; Chordata; Mammalia; Carnivora; Felidae. The transcript has 3 exons. The record is from RefSeq and is a predicted model, not a curated record.
ACCACCAUCACCAUCAUCCUCCACAUCACCAUCACCAUCAUCACCACCGUCAUCACCACCACCACUACCACCAUCACCGCCAUCAUUUUCAUCACCGUUGCCACUACCACCACUAUCAUCGUCAUCAUCCUGUAACUGUGGAAGCGCUUCCUCGAGGCGUCAUAGUGAGAACAAGAGACCCAAUAAUGAGACAGCAAUAACUGGCAGAAAAGAUGGGUUUCCUCAUGUCAAAGAUGAAAAACUAAAAUUUGAAUCAGGCCGAAUGAUUACGAAGAACAAAAUCAGCCAGGACAGCCUAAGAUGAAAAGCUGGCAGAAAAUUCAGCCGAAUUUGCAAAAAGACACCUACCACAUAUCUGUCACGCCCUCGAAGAGCUCACAUCCUGAAAGUGCUCCCACAAAUAGUGAGCUGUGUCCUCCGUGCUGUCCUCCGCUCCUGAAACUUGCAGGUCGGGACUUGAGUCCGACCAAAUUAUGCAAAGGGCAGAAAACUGUUUGUAAUCACUCCCAUCAUUGCACAUCUGUGCUUGAACUCAGUAAUGUGGUCCUAAAAUAUUAUUCUCCAAAUGGCAAAAGUGACAGACAAGUCGAGAAGAACCAACCUUAAUCAGAAACCGUCUAAUACCUGGAAAUUGGUGGAGAAGUGAAAUCGCAAAGGAAAAGGCACCUGUCCUUGCGUUUUUUGGCUUGUCCCCGUCUGGAGCUCUGCUGUGGCCUGUCAGUAGGGACAUAAGACAUUGGAGUAGUCCUGGAAGUUGAAAUCUUCGCAUUUUAUUCAUUCCCUGGAA